GCAGUCCAGUAAAACUAGUUUUGAAGAUUUUUGACAGAAUUGAUAUGGAGAGUCAGUAACCAGAGGAAACAGACUGAAGGGUGACUAGGGAGGGAACCUGAGCUUUCUGCAGCAAUGAAUUCUACAGAAUGACCAUCCUCUGGCUGAAGAAAUUCCUCCUCAUCCAGAGAUGCUAUGUUUCUCCAGCACUUCCUGUUUAUCGCAAAGAACCAUCUAUUCACUGCGACCUCAAGGAUUCUACAAAUCUUACUUAUGCUCAGGGUACAAGACAUCAACUAAACAUCCAUGGUCUCAGCUUCAACUGUAACAAUUCAAGCCUGUUAAAAACUUGUUAACUUGCGUAUUCUUUGUCUUCCUAUUAUACUGCGCAGCCUCCCCUUCUUAAACUACACAUCCAUGUUGGUAUCGGUAUUGGAUUUUAUUAUUUCUUUCAGGAUUUGAAGUUAAUAAAAGGCGUCUUCUCUGUAUUCAAGAAAACUAUUUAUUGGUUCCUUAAUUUGACUUGUAUUGCAUUUUAAUUGAAGUGCAAUAUUGCUGCAAGCUAGCAAGAUUUCGACAUCUUUGUUGCAAUCAAU
Molecule: long non-coding RNA, 575 nt
Organism: Stegostoma tigrinum
Lineage: Eukaryota; Metazoa; Chordata; Chondrichthyes; Orectolobiformes; Stegostomatidae
Exons: 3
Source: RefSeq, a predicted model, not a curated record